Molecule: long non-coding RNA, 1985 nt
Organism: Macaca mulatta (Rhesus monkey)
Lineage: Eukaryota; Metazoa; Chordata; Mammalia; Primates; Cercopithecidae
Source: Ensembl
GGGACGGUACAGAACUCGGAGGACCAUUGAUGCCCUGCCCCGCCCGCCCAGCACCGGUUCUGCCGCCUUAGCUCGAAGGGUCAGCCAGGCCAUCUCCUGCCUCGGGACGGAGAGCGCCCUGGAAAAGGCAGAGGGGCCGACCUUAGUCACACAACAGCAAUGGCAAGAUUUUCACCCAAGCAAUCUGACUUGGAACCCAUGGAUUAACCAACUCACUAUACUGCCACUGGAGGCAAAUCCAGAGACCAAGGGAGCAGUUUAUACAGAAACAGAUGCCGGCAUUAACCCACAGGGAGUUAUUGUUACAGACUGAAGAACAGAAAAAGAAAAAGCCAGAUAGAGCCUUAUUCCACCCAGCUUAGCUUCCAUAGAACAUUGUGAAUGAGAGAGUAGAUUCUUGAGAAAAUCCUGGAGUUACCCAGUUUUCAUGACUCGUUUCGUUAGACCAUCAUUUCCCAAACUGUGUUCUUUAUAAAAAAGCAGUUCUUCAGAAGGCUGGAAAGUAUUGUUUGGAAGGGGGUUCCAUGGUGAAGUCAGUUUGGAAUGCAGGGUUUACCCAAUUUUGAGAAGUUUCUUUGCAGGACUUCUCAGGGCCUUUGUGAAUCUCCAAGAAAAGAAUGUAGUAUGAAAGAUGAAAACUUUCUCCUGGCUGAUGGAACACACAUUGCAAAGCACUUCUAUAGACCAAUAUGAUUUCCAGUAAGAGCUAAAUAAAUUUUGUCAGUUGUUAAGGCAUAAAACAUUAAUAUAGGAUAUUACAGUCCUAGGCUUGCAUUACUUAAUUUGGAUUUUUCACCUAAGAAAAAUUAACUUUAAUGUGAAAAAUUAGGAGACAAUAUAGAGAAAAUUCAAGAGCCUCUCCAGAUAAAUUCUUAGAACUAAUGACAAAGUUCUCUAAAGUUUCUGGAUAUAAGAUGCCUGGGAUGCUGGAGGGGGAAAUACUUUCUUAUUUAUUAAUAGCAAGCAAUUAGAAUAAUAUUUUAAAUACCAUUUAUAAUAGUAUCAAAAUCUAUAAAGUAUCUAGGAAUAAGUCUAAUAAAAUAUGGCCAAAACAUUCAUGGAGAAAACUUAUAGCCUUUAUUUAAAGACAUAAAAUAAUUCUUAAACAAAUGGAGACAUUAUUAAAUAUGUUUAUGGAUGGAGAGACUCAAUGUAGUAAAGAUGUAAUCUUCUCCAUCUUUCACUUCCUUUGCUUCCUAAUUAAGACUUAUAUCGCUUUUGGCUGGGCACAGUGGCUCACACCUGUAAUCCCAGCUCUUUGGGAGGCCAAGGCUGACAGAUCGCAUGAGGCCAGGAGUUCGAGACCAGCCUGGCCAAUAAGGUGAAACCUUAUCUCUACUAAAAAAAAUAAUAAUAAUAGCUGGAUGUGGUGGUGUGUGCCUGUAAUCCCAGCUACUUGGGAGGCUGAGGCAGGAGAAUCACUUGAACCUGGGCAGCAGAGGUUGCUGUGAACCAAGAUUGUGCCUCUGCAUUCCAGCCCGGGCAACAGAGCAAGACUCCAUCUAAAAAAAAAAAAAAAAAAAGACUUAUAUUUCUCUUCUCACCCUUCUUUCACUGUCAGAAUGUCUCCUGCCCAUCUUAGCAAGCCUCUAGUGAGACACAUUUUGGAGCUCCAUCUAAAGAUCCUCAAUAGUAACCUGAUGUUCGUAAGGUUUCUAGUGAAGUACAAAAAGCUCUCAAGCCGGGUGCGGUGGCUCACGCCUGUAAUACCAGCACUUUGGGAGUCCAAGGCGGGUGGAUCACAAGGUCAGGAGAUCUAGACCAUCCUGGCUAACAUGGUGAAACCCCGUUUCUACUAAAAAUGCAAAAAAUUAGUCGGGCUUGGUGGCGGGUGCCUGUAGUCCCAGCUACUCGAGAGGCUGAGGCAGGAGAAUGGCGUGAACCCAGGAGGUGGAGCUUGUAGUGAGCCGAGAUUGUACCACUGCACUCCAGCCUGGGGGACAGAGCAUGACUCCAUCUCAAAAAAAAGCAAAAAAAAAAAAAAA